RNAcentral lists this unclassified non-coding RNA (253 nucleotides) under uncultured Micrococcaceae bacterium. RNAcentral describes it as "contains 16S-23S intergenic spacer region". It matches the Rfam family "Bacterial small subunit ribosomal RNA", at positions 524 to 776 of the family's 1533-position model. The record is from RNAcentral. Lineage: Bacteria; Bacillati; Actinomycetota; Actinomycetes; Micrococcales; Micrococcaceae.
UACGUAGGGCGCAAGCGUUAUCCGGAUUUAUUGGGCGUAAAGAGCUCGUAGGCGGUUUGUCGCGUCAUCCGUGAAAGUCCGAGGUUCAACCUCGGAUCUGCGGUGGGUACGGGCAGACUAGAGUGAUGUAGGGGAGACUGGAAUUCCUGGUGUAGCGGUGAAAUGCGCAGAUAUCAGGAGGAACACCGAUGGCGAAGGCAGGUCUCUGGGCAUUAACUGACGCUGAGGAGCGAAAGCGUGGGGAGCAAACAGG